This is a long non-coding RNA of Felis catus (domestic cat), 1529 nucleotides long. RefSeq lists it as uncharacterized. NCBI's taxonomy places the organism in Eukaryota, Metazoa, Chordata, Mammalia, Carnivora, Felidae. The record is from RefSeq and is a predicted model, not a curated record. The transcript is spliced from 3 exons.
UCUGAAAGAAAAAUUGGGAAGUCAGAGAGGUUUGCCCUACAGGGAUAUGUCCCUUUCCCUUCUCCCAACAUUGCAGGAAAGAGGUAUCCUGAGAGAAAGCUCCUUCAGGGUCACUUGGCCAACUCCACUAGGUUCCUCUCACCUUCCAUACCCUUCUAGUCUUAGAUCCAUCAGGUACUCAGUGCCUGGACUUCCACCUUCCUUUUCCUUGACUCCUUGCCCUCAAUGCAGCCAGCCCUGUCUGAUAGCUUAGUACCCUCUCCUUAGUUUCUCCCCUUCUUACCCUUCGACAGCUGCUGCUUGUAAGAUCUAUUAACAGUGCCUGCUCCUGAGUGCCACAGGAGCCAAUGAUAGGAGACCGUGCAGAGUCCCAUUCACUGUGCUCCAACCUGUGUUGAGGGAAAAAAAGAGACAUGGCUUGGUUUAUAGCACAAGCAGCUGAUGAGGUGAAGUCUUCCCAGCCAUCCUGCUGUGUGAUGUAGCACGACAAACUUGCAGCAGAGGCUGCUACUAUAGUUCCUGUCCCUACACAAGCAGUGUGUGUGCAGGCAGAUCGGUUUUUUUCAGCAGCAGUAAACGGUGAGGAUAACUACCAGGAAUUAACUGCCUACUAUGUAUCAGAUGCUGGACUGGGUGCUGUACAUAUAUUUAAUCCUCAGGUUAGAGGUUGGUGUUACUAUCUUCGAAGUAAUGUUGUCUUGUCCAUGGUGGCACAGCCAGUAACAGGUCAAGCCAGAAUUCAAAACCCAGGUUUGUCUCUAAACCUCAUGUCUGUUUUUUGUUUAUUUUUUUUCCAAUACACCAGAGAAACUCAUUAAAUUGUUUUUUCAUUUACCAAAGGCUAAUUAGGCAAAAGCAUCCAAGAAAGAUUUUUGUGAGGUUCUUAGAAUUAAACUGAACUGCCAGCCUCUACUGCUUCUGCAUUUUUUUGCUGAUUUACUACUGGCACUGCUCUAUGUAAUGAAGAAGCUGUCUUUUUCCAUUCAAUGGUUUCUCAAAAAACAUGAACUGCAUCAAAGGGGCUGCGGUAACAUAGCACAUUUGAACAAACAUUUGCCUAUAGGUAUGCACUUUUUAAUCAUGGUGGGAAGGAUGGAACUCUCCACUCCUCCAUAUGAAGGGAUGUCCGUUAGUCUAACACUCCUGGCCUCUCAUUGCAGGUCACCGAAUUUUCUCCUGGAAAGAAAGAAUAUUUUAAUCUGAUUUGUGAGUCUGGAAGGAGAAACUGAAUUUCACCAAUCAUUCCCAAGGACACUCCAAAGAUGAGGAAGUGGAUAUGGUCCCGUAUCUGUGCUUUGGGAGGAGCAACCCAGGCUCCAAGAAAGGGAGCUACCAAAUGAUUUCUUCCAACAAAAUGAAGACACAAAACCAAGACAAGGAAGACCUGGAAUACAAGAAACAGGUGAAGGGAGAGAUCCUAGGAUGAAAACUAGCAGUGCACAGCAACUGGUUCAUGUAAGAGCGAGAAAAAAAACUCCAGAAUUUUCUUCAUAAAUGCAAAAUUGACAGGAAUAAACACCUUAAAAGGA